AGAAAAGUGAGGAAACAAGGAAGCAUCAGUUUGAGUAGUGAGAAGCACCCAGUGCACUUGCUGCUGCAUUUCCUGUUUAAGGUUGUUUGAGUCCAUUUGAGUGUUUACAGACUCUUUUGGUUGUUGGCUUUUGAAGCUGAUAACAUGAGGUUGAAUGUACAAAACACAAACUAAGUACUUCUCUGCCAAGAGUUUUUAAGUGUGACUGAAAGACUUUAUUCUUGUCAAAGACCAGUGUGAAAUGAAACCACUUCCUGUAUAGACUUAACACUUUUGAAGAUGCUAAUAAACAUUUUAAAGACCACACCUCAUCUGUGAAGACAAACUGACCAGCACAGUGUAUAAUGGAUUUAGAGGCUAUUUAUGGAAAUGUUGAAUGCAGAGAUAUUCAGAGCACAACUGGACCUCAAACUCAGAGUCACGGCCAGGAUGAACGAAAAGAUCUAAAGCGCAGAGGAAGUAGAUGUUUGGUGUUGAUCACAGUGGGUCUCGGGCUCAUUUGUGUUCUUCUGCUGGUCUUCAUCAUACUGCUGCACAUCACCAUCACAGCAGAGAGAGACCUGAUAAAGAGUUACAAGAACACAGCUGAAGAGUUCAAUCAAACCAUCAACAGCUUACAGAACAAUUACACUGAUCUAAUGACUGAAAAACACCAACUGCAGAACAACUUCAACUCUUUGAGUCGGAAGAAAGGGAAACUGGAGACCAGAGUCAAAGAUCUCACUGCUAAGAAAAACCAGUUACAGAGAGAUUUUGACUCUUUGAAUAAGAAAGGCCCAGUUUGUUUUUUCAUGUCUACUGAGUUGAAGAGCUGGUCUGACAGCAGACAGUACUGCAGGGAUCGUGGAGCUGAUCUGGUCAUUAUCAACACUGAAGAGAAGCAGAGGUUCAUAUCUUCAAUAGUCGGUGAGAGUGUGUGGAUUGGUUUGUCUGACAGAGAGCAGGAGGGCAACAUGAAAUGGGUGGAUAAUUCAACACUGAAACAAGGGUUUUGGCUCCAGGGUGAGCCAAAUAGCUAUGGUGGAGAUGAGGACUGUAUUGAACUGAAUCCUGAGAAACAUCACCUGAACAACUGGAAUGAUCGUUCAUGCUCAAACACAAGAAAAUGGAUUUGUGAGAAAUAGGGUUCAUCUAGUCUUGUCAUGCUUUUGCUUGUAUUAUCUUAUGGAAUCAUUCUUAUUGUGAUAUGAGAAUGUGUAAUAUCUGAUUGAGGUCCCUGUCAGUAACUGCUUUCAUAACUCCAUUAUCCACCUUUUUCUUUUUGUAAAAAUUGGCGCGGCCAAUUUAUCAUAUUAUUAAUCAUAUUAUUCAUAUGUAUUAUCUUAAUUAUGAACACAUUGGUUUGUAGUGCAAACAGUUUUACCAUUUACUGCAUGUUGUUAUUCUCCUCCUUAUUUAAUAGUGAACCGGAAGUCUCACCCAUAGGCUUACUUCUGCGUUGAAGAAAAAGGUGGAUAGCAUUAUGUGUCCUUAUUUCAGCUGUUAUCAUGAGUCUCAUUUGUUGAUAUGGGCUGAUAUUAAGUGUCUGUGGUUCUGCUUUUGAAAUGCAUUGCUUUCUUUCAUAAUAAAAUUGUUGACUGACGGUUUUAUCA
Cyprinus carpio (common carp) is the source of this 1592-nucleotide long non-coding RNA. The record is from Ensembl. NCBI's taxonomy places the organism in Eukaryota, Metazoa, Chordata, Actinopteri, Cypriniformes, Cyprinidae.